Molecule: long non-coding RNA, 1563 nt
Organism: Herpailurus yagouaroundi (jaguarundi)
Lineage: Eukaryota; Metazoa; Chordata; Mammalia; Carnivora; Felidae
Exons: 2
Source: RefSeq, a predicted model, not a curated record
AAGGAAGUUAGCUUCUUCCUAUGCCCUCAGGGGGCUGGGUUUGGGAACCCCCUCUCCAGACAAGGUCCUCUGGCCAGAGGAGGAGAGGGAGAGCCAGGAGGCCACUCUUUCCUGCUUCUUUUACUCUGGCUUUUGCUUUGUGCGAUCAGGGGAGGGACCCCACAUAUGGGGGUGAUUAGUGGCUUUGGGGUCUCUGGAGCCCCUGUUUUAAAGAGAAGAGCAAGCGGACAGGGUCAGACGAGGGGGCAGAGAUGGAUGAGGCGAUGGCCAGAGCCAGGGGUCCCGGCCAGUCGGGCCGCAGAGGUGCUGGGGGAGGACCUGCCGCCGGGUAUGGACAGAAGCAGGAAAACAUUUAUGGCCGCCUGCAAGAGAGAGGGGAGAGCAAGGCCGGUUUCCAGAAGGCCCAGGGAAAGUUCCCUUUCUGGGGGCUUUUCAAACAAACAAACAAACAAAAACAGCCACCACAACAGCAACAACAACAAAAAAGGAGAAGAAGAAGGGAGGGGUUGAGGCGCGCUGAAUUUUCCCUCGCGGUCUUGGAGCCUGAGGAUUUCCAUAAAAGAAGAGAAGACCACGCUCCCGGAUCCUUCCACAUCUGCCUCGUUUUCUCCAGCCGGUGACCCAUCUGGUCUGAAAGGGACGGAGAACUACACUUGCCACUGAGUCACUUCUUUAAGACCGGUGCACACACAAAGAUUCGCAAGAGAACCCGGGGCGUCCUUGCAUUUGAACACCACGCGAGGCGGAGGAUACUGAUAACCAGUCGGACAAAAUACUAAUAAAAUAAAAUGAAAUCGGGGGAAGCGCUGAGUGCAGGGCGAGCGGGGAGAGGCCGGAUCUUGGGUUCCAGGCGGCCCGGGGCGACGGGGGGCGCCGAGCGGGGCCGGGCUCCUGCUGGCGACCCUGCUCUGUCUCGGCGUCCCCAGCCCGGCCUGCGGCCCCCUUCUCUCCAGCCUCCGCGCCCCUCCUGCCCUCUCGGCUCGGCUCGGAUGCCUGGUCCGGCCUCCCUGGUGCGAGGAUUUGGGACCUAAGAAGGGGCAAAGUGACUCAAGCCAGACUCUCCAUUUUUCUCCCCUAGGCCUCUCCACUUGCCCAGGCGCUCAGCCACCCGGGGACCGACACAACAGGGGCUUCUGGGCCGCCCCCUACCCACUCCUGUAUGGUUUCCCCAAAGUCUAGCGACCUCCAACCCUCCUUGGUGGGGGGGGGGGGGCAAAUAUCAGUGGCCAGACUCCUCUGCACCCUGUCAUGGGUGACCUCACUUCAGGAAUAUCUUGAAGGAGAAGAAAAAGAAGGCCGGCUUAGAGCCGUAUUUACAUCUAGUUCUACUGAUCUGUUCACAUCUGGAGAGUUUAUUUAUAACCCCCACUAUAACUCUCCCUGUUUGGAGGCACUGAUGUCUAGAAAAUAUUGCUCUAUCUCUAACCAUACCUAAAUGUGCUGUGCUUGUAUUUACAGAUUUAUGCUCGAGGAAAAUAUAAUUAUUUCCAUUGUAUUCGUGCAUAUACAAUAGUUAUAGAAGUAGAUUUAUAUAUGAGAAAAUAUACGACUCUCUUACAGCCA